GUGGGGAAUAUUGGACAAUGGGCGCAAGCCUGAUCCAGCCAUGCCGCGUGAGUGAUGAAGGCCCUAGGGUUGUAAAGCUCUUUCACCGGUGAAGAUAAUGACGGUAACCGGAGAAGAAGCCCCGGCUAACUUCGUGCCAGCAGCCGCGGUAAUACGAAGGGGGCUAGCGUUGUUCGGAUUUACUGGGCGUAAAGCGCACGUAGGCGGAUCGUUAAGUCGAGGGUGAAAUCCUGGAGCUCAACUCCAGAACUGCCUUCGAUACUGGCGAUCUUGAGUCCGGAAGAGGUGAGUGGAACUCCUAGUGUAGAGGUGGAAUUCGUAGAUAUUAGGAAGAACACCAGUGGCGAAGGCGGCUCACUGGUCCGGUACUGACGCUGAGGUGCGAAAGCGUGGGGAGCAAACAGGAUUAGAAACCCGUGUAGUCC
RNAcentral lists this ribosomal RNA (425 nucleotides) under uncultured bacterium. RNAcentral's name for it is "partial 16S ribosomal RNA". It matches the Rfam family "Bacterial small subunit ribosomal RNA", at positions 354 to 796 of the family's 1533-position model. The record is from RNAcentral.